CGUAGGGUGCAAGCGUUAAUCGGAAUUACUGGGCGUAAAGCGUACGCAGGCGGCUUUGCAAGACAGGUGUGAAAUCCCCGGGCCUAACCUGGGAACUGCAUUUGUGACUGCAUGGCUAGAGUUUGUCAGAGGGGGGUGGAAUUCCACGUGUAGCAGUGAAAUGCGUAGAGAUGUGGAAGAACACCGAUGGCGAAGGCAGCCCCCUGGGAUGUGACUGACGCUCAUGUACGAAAGCGUGGGGAGCAAACAGGAUUAGAUACCCUGGUAGUCCACGCCCUAAACGAUGUCUACUAGUUGUCGGAGGGUAACUCCUUCGGUAACGCAGCUAACGCGUGAAGUAGACCGCCUGGGGAGUACGGUCGCAAGAUUAA
RNAcentral lists this ribosomal RNA (371 nucleotides) under uncultured organism. RNAcentral describes it as "bacterial SSU rRNA". It matches the Rfam family "Bacterial small subunit ribosomal RNA", at positions 526 to 897 of the family's 1533-position model. The record is from RNAcentral.